RNAcentral lists this long non-coding RNA (816 nucleotides) under Trifolium pratense (red clover). RNAcentral describes it as "long non-coding RNA (TPRA_LNC001769)". Lineage: Eukaryota; Viridiplantae; Streptophyta; Magnoliopsida; Fabales; Fabaceae. The record is from RNAcentral.
AUCUUUGUGUAACUUGAAGUCACUAAAAGUAGAAAUGAAACCACUUUCAUAUUACUCAUCCAAAGCACUGAUAGAUGCCAAAAUAGCGCAGCUGCCUACCAUUUCACGGGAAGAAGUUUCCAAGAUAAUAGAAGAAUUUAAAUUUAGAUCUUCAUCCAUACCUGAUGGAAUAGUUGCCUCUUUACUACAAAACUCACCUUCAGCAGAAGUUCAUAUAAUCGACUAGAUUCAAAAGGUGAAAUGUGCAUUCUACUUUUGAAAGAUAUAUUCUUUAGUUUGAUUUUUGCCUCCUCCGUUUAUAUUUCCCUUGAUCUCAUAUAUAGUUAUAAUUAACUUAUUAUCAUCAUAAGGAUCUGUAUCACUACAUGAUUAUAUCCAGGCUUAACUUGUGUGUGUGUGUGUGUGUUUGGAUGCUGUAUAUAGCAAGGAUUUGGGUGAGUUUUGUAUUUUGAUCGGCGUAGGUAAUUUUAGUUUCAAAGACUUUAUAUAUUGUUAUAGAUGAGAACAUUAAGUCAUGAUACUUUGUUGCCUUCAAAGUUAGAAGAACAAGUUAUGUAUAUAUUUCUCUUAGGAAAUUGUUUGUUUAGAAUUAGAGCUUUGUGAAUUAAUUUAUCAGCAAAAAUGCAGAGGUGUUAAUUUUUUUUUAUAUAUAUUUGUUUGAUGUUUUACAGCGUUCUUCCUUUGCCACAAAUAAACCAGAUGCUGUGACUAAAUUUAUGAAGAAGUCGAAGGCCCCUAAUGGAUUUGCAUAUAUCAACCUGUCAUUAAUGUAAAACAAAUUAAAUUGUCUAUGCAACUUAUGAGUGCAACCCUAUC